GCGAGCCCAACCUCCCACCCGUGUUUACUGUACCUUAGUUGCUUCGGCGGGCCCGCCAUUCAUGGCCGCCGGGGGCUCUCAGCCCCGGGCCCGCGCCCGCCGGAGACACCACGAACUCUGUCUGAUCUAGUGAAGUCUGAGUUGAUUGUAUCGCAAUCAGUUAAAACUUUCAACAAUGGAUCUCUUGGUUCCGGCAUCGAUGAAGAACGCAGCGAAAUGCGAUAACUAGUGUGAAUUGCAGAAUUCCGUGAAUCAUCGAGUCUUUGAACGCACAUUGCGCCCCCUGGUAUUCCGGGGGGCAUGCCUGUCCGAGCGUCAUUGCUGCCCAUCAAGCACGGCUUGUGUGUUGGGUCGUCGUCCCCUCUCCGGGGGGGACGGGCCCCAAAGGCAGCGGCGGCACCGCGUCCAUCCUCGAGCGUAUGGGGCUUUGUCACCCGCUCUGUAGGCCCGGCCGGCGCUUGCCGAACGCAAAUCAAUCUUUUUCCAGGUUGACCUCGGAUCAGGUAGGGAUACCCGCUGAACUUAAGCAUAUCAAGCCGGAGGAAA
Molecule: ribosomal RNA, 546 nt
Filed under: Aspergillus oryzae
Lineage: Eukaryota; Fungi; Ascomycota; Eurotiomycetes; Eurotiales; Aspergillaceae
Description: eukaryotic LSU rRNA
Rfam family: 5.8S ribosomal RNA (bases 165-318)
Source: RNAcentral